CACGACGUUCCUUGUGAGAGACGUGUGCGGCUGCGCGCUCCAGUAACACUGCACACUCCACAGGCGCUGCAUACAAUGUUUUUGUCAGGAGACAGGAGUAACAACUGCAGAUUAUGAGUUACCUGCGGUGUACUUGUGGUAACUCUGCAAGGAUGCCCACAGAAUGCGAAGGAUGCUGCAAAGAGACGCCCAAGGUUCUAAGCAGAAUGAACCAGCUACCAUCCCCUUCAAACUGCAUGACUGACCAUCCUGGUCUUCAACCUGAAUGCUUGGAUGUUUUUUCUUUAUUUAUUGUGGGUAUUUAGAGUAACAUAAGUAAAUUAAAAAAAAAUUAUUAUGCAUUUAAAACAUCACAAUUGUAACAAAUUACAAAGAUUUUAGUAAAUAGUAAAAACUUUAUUACAAUCAUAUUACAGUCAUUUAUACCAUGAAAAUAACUAAACCGAAACAUUGUAAUCCCAUAAAUAUUUCCAUGUGCAUGGAUUUCUUAUAAUUAUUUUCAAGACACUCCGAUGUGCAUAGACUUUUCUAAAAACAUAUCUUAAAAUAUACAGUGACAAACGGCCAGUGUUAUUUACAAUAUACUUGUAGAACCAUUGCUCUGUUAGCAUCUUUUCAGGUCUAUAAAGCACACUAAAUGUUGACAGUUCAUCUCUUCACAAUCUUGUCCAGUUUCUUUGACAAGCCUGUUUAAAAAUGUGUAAUGUUUAAGAAGGAUACAUUUAAAAUAAAAUAAAUACUUUUAUAAUAAGGAUUAUAUAAAUAAUUAGACAUAUAAUCUUGUUUGACUCAAACACACAAAAAAAAAUCAACAACUGACCUUUUUUCCUGAUGCCAGAUAUCAUAGAACUGUUUGAUAUUGUUGUCUUUUUGAUAUUUUUGGAUUCGUGGGUGACGGUCAGUGUCUAUGUCAUCCAAGACAAUACCAUGUGCUGCCAGCUUUUUCAGGCUCCUUUUCAGGCCCUUCAGUUCCAUAUGGUAGCUUCCUCCAACUUCGUUGCUCUGAUGGUAUAGAGAAGACAGGUGUUUUCUAAGAUAUUUCACUAAGUUAUUCAAACUUCAAGCAAUGGUUGUCUGACAUUCAGUAAAAAGUAAACUGCCAGUAACUAUACAAAAAGUACUGAUACAUGGAGUGAUGAGCUGCAUGUAAGUGCAGCACCAUCUUGGUUAUGUUCCUUUCCAAGUCAGAUGGGAUGUGCUAUUGGUUGAAUUAAAAACUACUACAUUUUGUGACAAACACUCCCCAAAAACUUGGUGAAGCAAAGACCC
Molecule: long non-coding RNA, 1269 nt
Organism: Cyprinus carpio (common carp)
Lineage: Eukaryota; Metazoa; Chordata; Actinopteri; Cypriniformes; Cyprinidae
Source: RefSeq, a predicted model, not a curated record